CCUACGGGGGGCUGCAGUGGGGAAUAUUGCACAAUGGGCGCAAGCCUGAUGCAGCGACGCCGCGUGAGGGAUGAAGGCCUUCGGGUUGUAAACCUCUUUCAGUAGGGAAGAAGUCGGCCUUUCGGGGUUGGUGACGGUACCUGCAGAAGAAGCGCCGGCUAACUACGUGCCAGCAGCCGCGGUAAUACGUAGGGCGCAAGCGUUAUCCGGAAUUAUUGGGCGUAAAGAGCUCGUAGGCGGUUUGUCGCGUCUGCCGUGAAAGUCCGGGGCUUAACCCCGGAUCUGCGGUGGGUACGGGCAGACUAGAGUGCAGUAGGGGAGACUGGAAUUCCUGGUGUAGCGGUGAAAUGCGCAGAUAUCAGGAGGAACACCGAUGGCGAAGGCAGGUCUCUGGGCUGUAACUGACGCUGAGAGCG
This 416-nucleotide ribosomal RNA is filed under the name Arthrobacter agilis. RNAcentral's name for it is "bacterial SSU rRNA". It matches the Rfam family "Bacterial small subunit ribosomal RNA", at positions 338 to 755 of the family's 1533-position model. The record is from RNAcentral. Lineage: Bacteria; Bacillati; Actinomycetota; Actinomycetes; Micrococcales; Micrococcaceae.